GACGAACGCUGGCGGCGUGCCUAAUACAUGCAAGUUGAGCGAUGAAGAUUGGUGCUUGCCCCAAUUUGAAGAGCAGCGCACGGGUGAGUAACGCGUGGGGAAUCUGCCUUUGAGCGGGGGACAACAUUUGGAAACGCAUGCUAAUACCGCAUAACAACUUUAAACAUAAGUUUUAAGUUUGAAAGAUGCAAUUGCAUCACUCAAAGAUGAUCCCGCGUUGUAUUAGCUAGUUGGUGAGGUAAAGGCUCACCAAGGCGAUGAUACAUAGCCGACCUGAGAGGGUGAUCGGCCACAUUGGGACUGAGACACGGCCCAAACUCCUACGGGAGGCAGCAGUAGGGAAUCUUCGGCAAUGGACGAAAGUCUGACCGAGCAACGCCGCGUGAGUGAAGAAGGUUUUCGGAUCGUAAAACUCUGUUGGUAGAGAAGAACGUUGGUGAGAGUGGAAAGCUCAUCAAGUGACGGUAACUACCCAGAAAGGGACGGCUAACUACGUG
This 497-nucleotide ribosomal RNA is filed under the name uncultured bacterium. Its description in RNAcentral is "partial 16S ribosomal RNA". It matches the Rfam family "Bacterial small subunit ribosomal RNA", at positions 28 to 507 of the family's 1533-position model. The record is from RNAcentral.